RNAcentral lists this unclassified non-coding RNA (238 nucleotides) under uncultured fungus. RNAcentral's name for it is "sequence contains ITS2". The stretch from base 1 to 52 matches the Rfam family "5.8S ribosomal RNA", at positions 103 to 154 of the family's 154-position model. Lineage: Eukaryota; Fungi. The record is from RNAcentral.
AACGCACAUUGCGCCCCUUGGUAUUCCGAGGGGCAUGCCUGUUCGAGCGUCAUUAUGACCAUUCAAGCCUGGCUUGGUAUUGGGGUCCGCAAUCUAGCGGCCCUUAAAUUUAGUGGCGGUGCCCUCUGGCUCUAAGCGUAGUAAUUUUCUCGCUAUGGUGUCUAGGUGGUUGCUUGCCAAUAACCCCUUAUUUCUACGGUUUGACCUCGGAUCAGGUAGGGAUACCCGCUGAACUUAA